CAGUAGUCACGAGUUUGAUCAUGGCUCAGGAUGAACGCUAGCGGCAGGCUUAACACAUGCAAGUCGAGGGGUAUAGGCUUUCGGACCAAGAGACCGGCGCACGGGUGCGUAACGCGUAUGCAAUCUACCUUUUGCAGAGGGAUAGCCCAGAGAAAUUUGGAUUAAUACCUCAUAGUAUAGUACUUUGGCAUCAAGGAACUAUUAAAGUCACAACGGCAAAAGAUGAGCAUGCGUCCCAUUAGCUAGUUGGUAAGGUAAUGGCUUACCAAGGCGACGAUCAGUAUCUGGUUUGAGAGGAUGAUCAGACACACUGGAACUGAGACACGGUCCAGACUCCUACGGGAGGCAGCAGUGGGGAAUUUUCCGCAAUGGGCGAAAGCCUGACGGAGCAAUACCGCGUGAGGGAAGAAAGCCUACUGGGUUGUAAACCUCUUUUUUCAGGGAGGAAAAAAAUGACGUGUACCUGAAGAAUAAGCAUCGGCUAACUCCGUG
This 492-nucleotide ribosomal RNA is filed under the name uncultured bacterium. RNAcentral's name for it is "bacterial SSU rRNA". It matches the Rfam family "Bacterial small subunit ribosomal RNA", at positions 1 to 507 of the family's 1533-position model. The record is from RNAcentral.